GUGUGUUCUAAUAAAAGAUGCUACCUCCUCUUGCACACAGUGCCUUGUACCUCCCUCCAGACCACGACAGCUGCACCAAUAGUCCCUCAAGAAGAGCAGGAAGCACAGAAGCACCCAGAACUACAGAGGGUGGAAGUUCUAACCUGCCACCAUGAGCUGUGCUGGAAGAUAAAUCCACAGUUUUCCAGGUUUCAUUGGGGCUAACCAGUGGCAGAGAGAUGCUACACUUCUGUUUGGAUGUGCAUGAGAAUGUGACCAAACAUCUGAGCAAACUUCAGGUGAUCAGACUUCAGGCAUCCUCAUCAUCUGAUGGGACUUGAGAGGUCCCCAGCAGAUUGUUCUGUGCUUUGUGAGGAGGGAGUGCAGGACCUCCAGGAGAGGCAGCAGUGGGGAGAGAUUGCUGAAGCAUUCCAUGGAAUGGUAGAUCCAGCCUUGGCCAGACCUGAGGACCUUCCUUGCCUGCUCAGCCACAGGAGGGACCCAGGUGCUGGUGUCAUCAUUAACCCCUCAGUGAUGGGGAGCCAAGCUUCACCUCCAGCCCAGGCUCUGCACAAAGAGAGAUGGAUGGCUCCAGGGACUCAGCAGCAGCAGCAAAUCAGACUCAGUGCCACUAACAGGGCCUAG
This 624-nucleotide long non-coding RNA is filed under the name Cyanistes caeruleus (blue tit). RNAcentral describes it as "lncRNA (ENSCCEG00000013363.1)". The record is from RNAcentral. Lineage: Eukaryota; Metazoa; Chordata; Aves; Passeriformes; Paridae.